UCAGUUCAAUUUCUAACUAGAUAAGUGGCGGGCAUGCCGAUCUAAUUGCAAUUAAAAUUCCGGACGAAAUGAACUUUUAAUCGCGGGUUAUUAAUACAUCGGCGUAGGAUACACCAAGUUUCUACUUUCUUCUUUUUUUGAAGAAAUCGUUGUUGCAGCAAUUUCUAAUCGUACUUUUUCCAUGUUUCGUGAAUGCGCAAAAAAGGAUAUAAUAAAAGGUGCGAGAAGCGGAGAAAAAAAACAUAUAUAAAGACUGAGAGGAGAGUAUCAAUGACGAAUAUCGUUCGCAGCAUUCGUGCGGGUUCGAGAGCAUGGGACAGGAACACUGUAGAAAGUAUAUAGAUAGGCAGGAGGUAUCCAGGAAGGAAGUGUCGGGGUCGCUCUUCCGGACAGCUGCUCUGGAUAUCAGCGUAUAGGUACUAUGGUAAAGUAAUCCACUAUAGGACACCGUACAAGUGCCAUUACUACCGGGGGUAGCAAGGGCUUCAUUUAAUACCGCGUAGCUCAUAAUUAGGAUCUGGAUAAAUAUUAUAUUUUAUUCUCCUUUUCGCUCCCUUUUUUCCUCGCAAUGUUCGUUGCUCGUUUUCUACUUCUAUGCAUUUGAUGUAUAUAUGUCUGGAUACGCCACAUUGUAUAAGAAAGUUAAAUAUCAUAAGAAUCACUAUUUUAAAUUUUUUUUUUAAUUUUCUAAAAUACAUUUUAUUUAUAUUCUUUAUCAUUAUAAGUAUUGAAAAAUUGUGAAUUAUCAAUAAUAUAUAUAUAUUUAAUAAUUAAAAGUAAUAAUAAUACUACGUAAAAUACAAAUAUUCUAUGUAAAAUAAUUAUAAUUGUAUGACGGAAAAAUGAAAUUUUUAAACAUAGCUUCAUAUUUCGAUGCAAUUCUAAUUAUAAUUCUUAAUUUCUUGUAAUAAAGAUCGUAUAUGAAAAAAAGAAUAUUUAAUCUAAUACAAUUGAUCAAAAAAAGAAUUAACAAUAGAUUAAUAUAAAUGUAAAAUAUAUUUAAAUAUUAUUAUAGAUAUUAAUAAUAUGAAAAAAUUAGAAAAUUUGAGAAAACGGUUAAAACCUUUGAAUUACAACUUAAUAGGGAAACAAAUUCCCAUAACUACAUACAUACACGAUAACUCAAACCAUAAACUCAUCUAUUUGUCCCACCUGUAUAAGGAAGGUACACCCUCUUUUUAAACCAUACAUUGUGUACCAUCAUCCCCCUUUUUGUCAUGUACCGUGGGAAAAACACACAUUUGUUCAUCGAUUGUUUUUCGAAUCACCACACAUAAAUUUACUCAAUUUCAAUCAAAUAAAAAUAAUUGAAAAAUUA
Apis cerana (Asiatic honeybee) is the source of this 1318-nucleotide long non-coding RNA. RefSeq lists it as uncharacterized. The record is from RefSeq and is a predicted model, not a curated record. Lineage: Eukaryota; Metazoa; Arthropoda; Insecta; Hymenoptera; Apidae.